Molecule: long non-coding RNA, 239 nt
Filed under: Oryza brachyantha (malo sina)
Lineage: Eukaryota; Viridiplantae; Streptophyta; Magnoliopsida; Poales; Poaceae
Description: long non-coding RNA (OBRA_LNC001034)
Source: RNAcentral
GUUCAAUACACAUAUCUUCGGCGUAUCGCCAACUUUUUGACAAGAGCAAGCUCUCGGCGCGAGGUUUGUCAACUUCGCAAUGUAGUUCGUGUCUGUUAACUCGUCGAUCGACUAGAACAGGACGGUCUCGGUUUAGUUCGAUCUCCUGUCUAGUUGUUCAACGGUUUAUCUAAGGUUUGUUGUUACUUUUGAUCUGUUCUUGAUUUGAAGUAGUGAUAGGUUCUCGAUCAAGUCCUCGC